RNAcentral lists this ribosomal RNA (450 nucleotides) under uncultured bacterium. Its description in RNAcentral is "partial 16S ribosomal RNA". It matches the Rfam family "Bacterial small subunit ribosomal RNA", at positions 354 to 796 of the family's 1533-position model. The record is from RNAcentral.
GUGGGGAAUCUUCCGCAAUGGACGAAAGUCUGACGGAGCAACGCCGCGUGAGUGAAGAAGGUCUUCGGAUCGUAAAGCUCUGUUGUACGGGACGAAUGUUGGAGGCGUGAAUAAUGCCAUCAAAUGACGGUACUGUACGAGGAAGCCACGGCUAACUACGUGCCAGCAGCCGCGGUAAUACGUAGGUGGCGAGCGUUGUCAGGAAUUAUUGGGCGUAAAGGGAGCGCAGGUGGGAAGGUAAGUCUGUUUUAAAAGCGUCGGGCUCAACCCGAUGAGGGAACAGAAACUAUUUUUCUUGAGUGCAGGAGAGGAAAGCGGAAUUCCUAGUGUAGCGGUGAAAUGCGUAGAUAUCAUCCAGAACACCGAUUGCGAAGGCAGGUGGCUGUACCUUAAUCGACGCUGAUGCACGAAAGCAUGGGGAGCAAACAGGAUUAGAAACCCGGGUAGUCC